Molecule: non-coding RNA, 120 nt
Organism: Hordeum vulgare subsp. vulgare (domesticated barley)
Lineage: Eukaryota; Viridiplantae; Streptophyta; Magnoliopsida; Poales; Poaceae
Source: Rfam
CUAAUACUCCCUCCGUCCCNAAAUUCUUGUCUUAGGUUUGUCUAAAUACUAAAACGUGACUAGAUACAUUUAUAUAUAGACAAAUAUAAGACAAUAAUUUUGGGACGGAGGAAAUAUUUA